RNAcentral lists this transfer RNA (87 nucleotides) under Candidatus Doudnaibacteriota bacterium. Its description in RNAcentral is "Candidatus Doudnabacteria bacterium tRNA-Leu". It matches the Rfam family "tRNA". From Rfam's summary of the family: Transfer RNA (tRNA) molecules are approximately 80 nucleotides in length. Their secondary structure includes four short double-helical elements and three loops (D, anti-codon, and T loops). Lineage: Bacteria; Candidatus Doudnaibacteriota. The record is from RNAcentral.
GGGGACGUGGCGGAAUUGGCAUACGCGCAAGGCUUAGGACCUUGUGCCCGCAAGGGCUUGUGGGUUCAACUCCCACCGUCCCCACCA